This 420-nucleotide ribosomal RNA is filed under the name uncultured bacterium. Its description in RNAcentral is "SSU rRNA". It matches the Rfam family "Bacterial small subunit ribosomal RNA", at positions 370 to 808 of the family's 1533-position model. The record is from RNAcentral.
CAUGGGGGAACCCUGAUGCAGCGACGCCGCGUGGAGGAAGAAGGUCUUCGGAUUGUAAACUCCUGUUGUUGGGGAAGAUAAUGACGGUACCCAACAAGGAAGUGACGGCUAACUACGUGCCAGCAGCCGCGGUAAAACGUAGGUCACAAGCGUUGUCCGGAAUUACUGGGUGUAAAGGGAGCGCAGGCGGGAAGACAAGUUGGAAGUGAAAUCUAUGGGCUCAACCCAUAAACUGCUUUCAAAACUGUUUUUCUUGAGUAGUGCAGAGGUAGGCGGAAUUCCCGGUGUAGCGGUGGAAUGCGUAGAUAUCGGGAGGAACACCAGUGGCGAAGGCGGCCUACUGGGCACCAACUGACGCUGAGGCUCGAAAGUGUGGGUAGCAAACAGGAUUAGAUACCCUGGUAGUCCAAGGGCGAAUUC